Molecule: ribosomal RNA, 253 nt
Filed under: uncultured bacterium
Lineage: Bacteria
Description: partial 16S ribosomal RNA
Rfam family: Bacterial small subunit ribosomal RNA
Source: RNAcentral
UACGUAGGGUGCAAGCGUUGUCCGGAAUUAUUGGGCGUAAAGGGCUCGUAGGCGGUCCAUCGCGUCGGGAGUGAAAAGCUGGGGCUCAACCCCAGUCCUGCUUCCGAUACGGGUGGACUAGAGGUAUGCAGGGGAGAACGGAAUUCCUGGUGUAGCGGUGAAAUGCGUAGAUAUCUGGAGGAACACCGGUGGCGAAGGCGGCUUUCUGGACAAAUACCGACGCUGAGGCACGAAAGCUAGGGGAGCAAACAGG